Molecule: long non-coding RNA, 689 nt
Filed under: Bos taurus (domestic cattle)
Lineage: Eukaryota; Metazoa; Chordata; Mammalia; Artiodactyla; Bovidae
Description: long non-coding RNA NONBTAT020524
Source: RNAcentral
GUUAACUGUAUUCUGUGUUGAAGUAUGCAAAACUACUCAGUAUAAAUUAUAGUCAAUCCAUAUAUGAUCAGCUGCUGUACAUGUUUAGAUAUAUACUAUGGGACAUGAAAUUUACAGUGUUUAUAUGACCAUAUAGGCUUUUAUCCAGGGAAAUAUUUGUGUUUCUUUAAAAUAUAAACUAUUAAUAUUUUCUAUGAUUAAAGGUAAAUGAUGUCAUCAGUGGACAUUUUAGCUUUAUGGAAGCAAAUUUUUAAGAAAAAUAGUAGAAAGGUGUCUGAUUCCUUUUAUUAUUCUUGUAGUGCAGAAGUAUAAACAAAGAUAUCAGUUAGAGGCAUAGGAAAGUUCAUUUGAAGAACCUGCAAAUCACUUUUGGUAAGAAUACAUUCAUCUUAUACAAGUGUUCAGAAAAUUGGGAAAAUUAUAGCCUUUUGUAGCAGAUUGAAAGUUUCAUGUAUAAGUAGUUCAGGACAGUAAACAUCACUAACUUGAAGUAAAAUUUUGCCAGUAAUUUUCACAUUAACCGUAUUUAUUAUUUGAUGUAAAUCAGUUAAUCAGUGAAAAUUGUAAUUGAAUGAAUGGACAUUUCAGAAUGCUAAUUAAUGAUCAAUAGAAGCCUAAGAGUACCUCUUGUAACUCUUUUGAGAGCAGUAUAUCUUCAGUUUUGUUAAGCAGAGUAACUCAGUUAACAA